GGCACCUGCUCGGGGCCGCAGGUGAGGGGCCGGAGCGGGCCGGGGGCGGCAGCGCUGGUGCCAGCCCGGCGGGACGCGCCCCCCGGCAUCGCCGGCUCUGCCCCGCAGCUGCUGCGCGGCGCGCUGGCCCCGCCGCGGAGGGCACUCGCUGCCGCAGCUCACUCACCGGCGUGUUCGACUAACUGCGCGCAGACCACCCGGUACGCGGGCUAAUCACAAGGGCACGCGAAGUUACUGAUGCACUCCAGAGAAAACAUUGACUACAGAUUGUCUUAUUUCCUUUGUGUCUGGGAAGUACUGGAAAAACUGGUGAGAAGAGCUGAAGCACCUGAAGCAAAUGGAUGAUACCCCCCGUUAUCUUUGCGGUAACAUGUUUUUCCAGCUAUCUCAGAGUUUAGCUAAAGGACAGAGAAGACAGGAUUGGAGCUGGAUCCAGCCAAGAACCAAGGCAAAUACGCCAAGAAGCAGGAAGGAGAGAAAUUUAGGUUUGAAGCCAUACUUACCACAGACAUGCAGAGAACGUUCCAUCUCAUGCACCAAGGGGGAACUGCUCCACUGAACAACUUUUACUACAACUGCAGUUGCAGGAAGGAUUCAGGGGAAAAAGGUGAGAGAAUCUGUGGAAACGGUACUGACUUAUUUUGUAGAAAUUUUUUCUUUAUUGCUAACACUCAUUUUCAGUCUUUGUUUCUUUUUCGUCACGAUUAGAACAUCCAAACCAGCCAAGCAGCAUAUUCACUGUCUGUGCAGUGCUAACAGAUUUGCCUCCAUCUCGUUAGACCCACGUUUUAAACUUGUGUUGCUUACGACAACGCAUAUGCAGGAAUGAAGCUGUAAACUUGGAAAAAACUCUGUAAGAGCAGCAGUAUCUUACUUGAAAACAAUUUUGUGAAAGCAGAUUAAUUUGAAGCGCCCCUUACCACGGUAUUUCUCACUUAAUGUGGAGCUUAGUAUUUCUGUUCUGUUGUAUAAGCCCUUAUGUGGCAUUGUUCCUUGCCAGAUGAUCCUUUCUGCCCUCUGCAAGAUUUGUCGGUCACGACAACUGCAUUCCACUGAAGCAAUUAAAAUAUAAAUGCUUUUAAAUACACGAGACUGAACUAUAGUGAACUUAGACAAAACAGGUGGAAUCUUCCCAGCCCGGGGGAAGUUAAUGGAAAUUUUAACACUGAUGUAAAUGGAGCAAAAAUGUCACUCAAAUGAGGGCACUUUGGCAAAAAUUACAUCGAAAAGGAAUUAUUUAUAUGCAUGUGCACAUAUACUAAGCACUCCUAAGCAGCAAAGCCAACAGAAAAGCUGGAUGUCAUUUCAUUUCUUCUAUAGAAGAC
This is a long non-coding RNA of Myiozetetes cayanensis, 1325 nucleotides long. RefSeq lists it as uncharacterized. The record is from RefSeq and is a predicted model, not a curated record. The transcript has 2 exons. NCBI's taxonomy places the organism in Eukaryota, Metazoa, Chordata, Aves, Passeriformes, Tyrannidae.